GUAAAAAGAAGGAGAGCCAGGCCAAGUUUCUAACAGGUCCUAUUUGUGUCGGAUGGAGGCUCUGAUUGCAGGAGCUGAGGCAAAAGUGUAAUUCCUCUCUGCAGUUUCAAGGCUCUGCAUUGUGUCCGUGGCCUGGAGCACCGACAUUACAGGUAUUCUUUAUUUUGCAGCAUCCAAAAUGGCCAUGAUACCAAGUAACAACGAGUCCUUCUUUCUUUCUGACAAAAUAAAGGUUUGAUAGUUACAGAACAUUGAAAAUAAGGAAAACUA
Molecule: long non-coding RNA, 270 nt
Organism: Talpa occidentalis (Iberian mole)
Lineage: Eukaryota; Metazoa; Chordata; Mammalia; Eulipotyphla; Talpidae
Exons: 3
Source: RefSeq, a predicted model, not a curated record